CGGACGGGUGAGUAACGCGUGGGUAACCUGCCUCAUACAGGGGGAUAACAGUUAGAAAUGACUGCUAAUACCGCAUAAGACCACAGCACCGCAUGGUGCAGGGGUAAAAACUCCGGUGGUAUGAGAUGGACCCGCGUCUGAUUAGGCAGUUGGUGGGGUAACGGCCUACCAAGCCGACGAUCAGUAGCCGACCUGAGAGGGUGACCGGCCACAUUGGGACUGAGACACGGCCCAA
Molecule: ribosomal RNA, 235 nt
Filed under: uncultured bacterium
Lineage: Bacteria
Description: partial 16S ribosomal RNA
Rfam family: Bacterial small subunit ribosomal RNA
Source: RNAcentral